AGUAUUUAUGCAUCUGGAUGAUGGUUGUAGAAGAGUAAAUGUGUUCCUAAAAAUAGCAUGUAAUUUCAGCUAGACAAAGCUUCAGGGUCACAACAUUCAAGGAGAGAACAGCUCCAGCCGCUUCCACGUGGGCAGCCACUGCUGUUCACUUUCAAGAUUCCACCACAUUUGUGACUCAACCUGUUUCUACUACUUUUGCUGCCACCGACUGAUGGACUCCCUCCACAGACCUUUCAUCCAGAUUCCCCAAGAGAGAGGAUCUGAUUGGCUGGUCAGUCAACAUUCAUUGUCAAGAGUCUUAUCGGGCUGAGCUCCCUCUCUGGGCUACCUCAUGGGCCACAGCUAGCCUGUGAGACAGCUGCUGAGACUCAGGUGCCCACCCCUGACCUAGGGUGGCAAGGCCACGUGGGAUAAGGCCAGAUCAUCUGUGAGUGUGGCGGGCACUCAGCAGAUCACAUCCUGUAUAUCUCUUUGUCCAUCUUCCUACACCAGCACCAGAUGGCCUGUGAGGAUCAAAAGAAAGGCUCUGGAGACAUCCUCAUGCCGAGCAAUCUGUGUUUUGCUGCUUCGUUUGGAUUCUCGGAUCUGUAUUAUGUGUGAGAACCUGCCAGGAACACUCCAGGAAUUUAGCUCAGAGACAAGACUGAAGUGACUAGAAAAUAGAGGUCGUGAUGUCCACUGUCCCUCAAACUGGACUUCUUCCAUUAGUUCUUUUAAUUUUAAAGCAGUGUUAGUACAUUUGUACCUG
This 748-nucleotide long non-coding RNA is filed under the name Equus caballus (horse). Its description in RNAcentral is "lncRNA (ENSECAG00000055305.1)". The record is from RNAcentral. Lineage: Eukaryota; Metazoa; Chordata; Mammalia; Perissodactyla; Equidae.